RNAcentral lists this ribosomal RNA (683 nucleotides) under uncultured Enterobacteriaceae bacterium. RNAcentral's name for it is "partial 16S ribosomal RNA". It matches the Rfam family "Bacterial small subunit ribosomal RNA", at positions 100 to 776 of the family's 1533-position model. The record is from RNAcentral. Lineage: Bacteria; Pseudomonadati; Pseudomonadota; Gammaproteobacteria; Enterobacterales; Enterobacteriaceae.
AAGGUGUAAAAACGUUGGCACCCCCCCCUGUACCGGGGGGUACUUCCGGAACCUUUGCUAAACCCCCUUUGAUCUUGUCUGCCUGCAUUCGCUUUAAAGUUCAAAUGCUUCUAAUACCCGACGGGCCCUCCCUUUUUUAGCUUAUUUAUUGGGUAAACGCUCUAACCAGGCGGCGUUACCAUCGCUACUAAACGGGUUUUUUGGCCCCCCUUCGGAUUAGCCACCGCCACCGACUCCCCCGGGGGGCAGCCGUAGGGGAAUCUUUGGCCAAGGACGGAAGUCUGUCCCAGCAACCCCGCUUGAGUGAAGAAGGUCUUUGGAUCGUAAAACUUUGUUGUAAGAGAAGAACGAGUGUGAGAGUGGAAAGUUCACACUGCGACCGUAUCUUACCAGAAAGGGACGGCUAACUACGUGCCAGCAGCCGCGGUAAUACGUAGGUGGCAAGCGUUAUCCGGAUUUAUUGGGCGUAAAGAGAGUGCAGGCGGUUUUCUAAGUCUGAUGUGAAAGCCUUCGGCUUAACCGGAGAAGUGCAUCGGAAACUGGAUAACUUGAGUGCAGAAGAGGGUAGUGGAACUCCAUGUGUAGCGGUGGAAUGCGUAGAUAUAUGGAAGAACACCAGUGGCGAGGGCGGCUACCUGGUCUGCAACUGACGCUGAGACUCGAAAGCAUGGGUAGCGAACAGG